This 406-nucleotide ribosomal RNA is filed under the name uncultured bacterium. RNAcentral's name for it is "partial 16S ribosomal RNA". It matches the Rfam family "Bacterial small subunit ribosomal RNA", at positions 30 to 526 of the family's 1533-position model. The record is from RNAcentral.
AUUGAACGCUGGCGGCAGGCCUAACACAUGCAAGUCGAACGAGUGGCGGACGGGUGAGUAAUGUCUGGGAAACUGCCCGAUGGAGGGGGAUAACUAAUGGAAACGGUAGCUAAUACCGCAUACCAUCGGAUGUGCCCAGAUGGGAUUAGCUAGUAGGUGGGGUAACGGCUCACCUAGGCGACGAUCCCUAGCUGGUCGGAGAGGAUGACCAGCCAAACUGGAACUGAGACACGGUCCAGAUGCCUACCGUAGGCAGCAGGGGGGAAUAUUGCACAAUGGGCGCAAGCCUGAUGCAGCCAUGCCGCGUGUUUGAAGAAGGUCUUCGGGUGGUAAAGUACUUUCAGCGAGGAGGCGUGACUCGCAGAAGAAGCACGGGCUAACUCCGUGCCAGCAGCCGCGGUAAUAC